UGUUAAAAAUUUUAUUCAUUUCUACUGUUAAAAAAUUGACAUUGUUGAUAGAAUAAUCAGAUAAUUCAUGUGGCGUGCCACAUAUACCUCAUUCUAACAUAUAAUGAGUAAUUUUUAACAAGAGAAAUGAAUGAAAAUUUCACCA
Non-coding RNA from Gossypium raimondii (Peruvian cotton), 145 nucleotides. The record is from Rfam. Lineage: Eukaryota; Viridiplantae; Streptophyta; Magnoliopsida; Malvales; Malvaceae.